RNAcentral lists this long non-coding RNA (349 nucleotides) under Ananas comosus (pineapple). RNAcentral describes it as "long non-coding RNA (ACOM_LNC016037)". The record is from RNAcentral. Lineage: Eukaryota; Viridiplantae; Streptophyta; Magnoliopsida; Poales; Bromeliaceae.
CAAUAAACACAGAGUUCAAUUUUUGCAUCGUUUAUUAAGACAUUUUCAAUCAGCAGUGCAGGUAUUUUUAUUAUAUUGAUCUUUUGGGAACCGAAAUGUACAAUUUAUUCGGUUUGAAUCGGUCAACGACACUUAAUUUGACUUAAAAAAUUGAAUGCGUCAUUUGUCUUUACAUGUUUAGUUAAUUAAUAUGCUUUACGCAAUUAUUGCAACUAUAAAUUCUUUAAAAUAAAUUAUUAGUUUAAGGUUUGAAGUCAGAAUGCCGUUGACUCACUCGAAUCAAAUAAAUUAAACAUUUGGAUAGUAAAAUUAAAAUUCCGAAGGGUUGGAUAAUCAACUAAGAAUGAUC